UUUUAAGUCCAAUCUGCCCAAUGAAAUUUUAAUGGCUGGAAUAAAUAACUGUACUAAGGUAGCAUAAUAAAUUGUUUUUUAAUUAAAAACUUGAAUGAAAGAUUUAAUGAAAUAUAUACUUUUUUAUUUUUAAAUAUUAAAAUUUUUAUUUAAGUAAAAAAACUUAAAUAAAAAUAAAAGACAAUAAGACCCUAUAAAAUUUUAUUUUACUUAAUUAAAUAUAAUUUUAAUUAAAUAUAAUUUAAUUGGGGUAAUUAAAAAAUUAAAUAAACUUUUUUAAAAAAUACAAAAAUAUUUGAUAAAAAUAACUUUUACUUUAAAAAUUAAAAUUAAUUACUUUAGGGAUAACAGCAUAA
This 356-nucleotide ribosomal RNA is filed under the name Allorhogas conostegia. RNAcentral's name for it is "partial 16S ribosomal RNA". The record is from RNAcentral. Lineage: Eukaryota; Metazoa; Arthropoda; Insecta; Hymenoptera; Braconidae.